RNAcentral lists this long non-coding RNA (1987 nucleotides) under Gouania willdenowi (blunt-snouted clingfish). RNAcentral describes it as "lncRNA (ENSGWIG00000026786.1)". Lineage: Eukaryota; Metazoa; Chordata; Actinopteri; Blenniiformes; Gobiesocidae. The record is from RNAcentral.
ACAAUCCAGAACAACAGGGUUUACUUGUUGUCAUUUCUUUGUUUUACUGUAAGUCCCAAAGGUUCAGACAGUCGUCUACUGCACACGCUCAGUGUGUUCUGAGGAAAAUGAACAACUGGUGAAAAGAGUGCUGGAAAAAAUGCACACACCCCCGAAACUACUGCCCUUCAGGGUGAACGGUCCCAUUUUCCCUGAUGAGCCAUCUUCAGGUGACACUUUGGACUCCAAGUUCUUCAUCCUCAGGGCAUCUCAGUUCACCAACGGCUGCUUCAUCGCACGACUGUCUCGACAGGCAGAUCCCACUAAGGUAGAAAGUGUCCAGGAUGUUUUGGCAAGAGCAGCAGCGAAAGGCCUCCUGGGUGGGGUAAUGCCUGACCAAUCAAAAACUGGGAAAAAGGGGAAGAGGAAGAAGAAUUGGGCUGCUUCUGGCGAACAUUCAUCCUCGUCCAGUGAGGAGAGGCAUUCAGGGGAUGAGCUCAUGAGCAGGCGGGACUCAGUGUCACCACAUGAAGGGUUGAAGGAUAGUGGCAAAGAGGAGGAAAAAGGGGCAGAAGGAGACGUAGAAACAAAAAAGAAGGAGCCCAAGGGACGUAAGAAAGCAGCAAAACUCCGUUUAAAGCACAACAAGAAAAGCAACGGAACCACAAAGCAUCAGAAGAAGAAACCAGCAAAGAAAAAGGCCAACGGGUCACCCAACAAGAAGCACGUGACAGGAACGAAACCUAGACGAAUACCUCGGCUCACACUGACUCUCAUAUCCUCUGCAGAUUCCACCAAACGCUACUCCCCAAUCGUAGCUCUGGCUCACAAGCUCAGUGUUAGCACAGCCUCCACCCAAAGCCAGCACCCCUCAGCUUCUCCACACUCAGCAUCCACCAAACCAAAACCACCACCGCACAAAACACACAGCAACGGGCCCAAAUCGGUCAGAAAGGUGGCCGCACAGCAAAAAAGAAAUGUGGUCACUCCUCCAAAAAAGUUGGAGGUACCACAGGGAGUAGAAACUCUUCUUCUUCCCAUUUCCUCCUCGUCCUCCAACCUUCUCCACAAUAAGAGUGGCAGCUCUCUGUCCCACACCUCCAACAUGUCUGCGUCCUCCUCCACAGUCCUUCUGCCUGGAUCAUAAAGACUAGAGCUUUGCUGACACACUGAGACUACAGACCUACGCUAGUCUGUAAAGAACAAACUGUAAGGCAUAUGGACAUUAAAGCACACAUUUUGUGUCAUUAAAGGGGGAUUGGUGCAUGAAUGGAAAAGAUAUCAGUCAUAGAACCACAUGACUUGGUGUAAAGUCCAGAUAAAAAAUUAAAAAAAAGAAAUUCUCACUAGUAUUUAGAACUUAAAUAUAUUAUAUGUUAAGGUUUAAUUUAUUCAGACAACUGUUUUUCAGGAAAUUUACUUUGACAUGUUUCAACUGUCAACUGCCAGUCUUCUUUGGAGUUGUCUGCUGAUCGCUUUGAUGUUUCCUUGACAUCCAUGUAAUAAUUUCAGCAAAUUAUUUUUGACUAAAAUAAGGUUUGAUUUAUUCAGACAACUUCUUAUCAGGUAAUUUACUUUGAUCUGACAUGUUUCGACUGUCAACUGCCAGUCUUCUUCAAAGGCAACUACUAAUCGUUUUUAAGUUUCCUCGACUCCCACGUAAUAAUUCAAACAAGUUCUCUUUGAAUAAUAUGUUAUAGUUUCAUUUAUUCAAACAACUGUUUUUCUGGAAAUUUAAUUUGAUCUCCUCACACGUUUCGACUGUCAACUGCCAGUCUACUUCAGAGGCGUCUGCCGAUUGCUUUGAUCUUUCUUUGACUUAUGCGUAAUAAUUCCAGCAAGUUCUUUUUGAACAAUAUGUUAUGGUUUCAUUUAUUCAGACAACUGUUUUUCUGGAAAUUUACUUUGACCUCCUGACACGUUUCAACUGUCAACUGCCAGUCUUCUCCAGAGGCGUCUGCUGAUCGCUUUGAUAGUUCUUUGACUUACGCGUAAUAAUUCCAGCAAG